This 402-nucleotide ribosomal RNA is filed under the name uncultured bacterium. RNAcentral describes it as "partial 16S ribosomal RNA". It matches the Rfam family "Bacterial small subunit ribosomal RNA", at positions 355 to 774 of the family's 1533-position model. The record is from RNAcentral.
UGGGGAAUAUUGGACAAUGGGCGAAAGCCUGAUCCAGCCAUGCCGCAUGAGUGAAGAAGGCCUUUGGGUUGUAAAGCUCUUUUAGUGAGGAAGAUAAUGACGGUACUCACAGAAGAAGUCCUGGCUAACUCCGUGCCAGCAGCCGCGGUAAUACGGAGAGGGCUAGCGUUAUUCGGAAUUAUUGGGCGUAAAGGGCGCGUAGGCUGGUUAAUAAGUUAAAAGUGAAAUCCCGAGGCUUAACCUUGGAAUUGCUUUUAAAACUAUUAAUCUAGAGAUUGAAAGAGGAUAGAGGAAUUCCUGAUGUAGAGGUAAAAUUCGUAAAUAUUAGGAGGAACACCGGUGGCGAAGGCGUCUAUCUGGUGCAAAUCUGACGCUGAAGCGCGAAGGCGUGGGGAGCAAACA